CCUACGGGAGGCAGCAGUGAGGAAUAUUGGUCAAUGGGCGCGAGCCUGAACCAGCCAAGUAGCGUGAAGGAUGACUGCCCUACGGGUUGUAAACUUCUUUUAUAAAGGAAUAAAGUGAGGCACGUGUGCCUUUUUGUAUGUAUUUUAUGAAUAAGGAUCGGCUAACUCCGUGCCAGCAGCCGCGGUAAUACGGAGGAUCCGAGCGUUAUCCGGAUUUAUUGGGUUUAAAGGGUGCGCAGGCGGAUUUUUAAGUCAGCGGUAAAAUCGUGGGGCUCAACCCCAUCCAGCCGUUGAAACUGGGGAUCUUGAGUGUGCGAGAGGUAUGCGGAAUGCGUGGUGUAGCGGUGAAAUGCAUAGAUAUCGCGCAGAACCCCGAUUGCGAAGGCAGCAUGCCGGUGCACAACUGACGCUCAGGCACGAAAGCGUGGGUAUCGAACAGGAUUAGAUACCCCUGUAGUC
RNAcentral lists this ribosomal RNA (459 nucleotides) under uncultured bacterium. Its description in RNAcentral is "partial 16S ribosomal RNA". It matches the Rfam family "Bacterial small subunit ribosomal RNA", at positions 338 to 795 of the family's 1533-position model. The record is from RNAcentral.